UAAAAACCGAGGUAAAAUCUUAGUCAAGUAUCACCAACUUGCCAACUACAAGUUGUGUGGUUCAUCCUCUGAAGAUCUCCGAUCGAGCUGAUUGCAGUUUGGGUCGUGUUCCGAAGUCUUUGCCUUUGAAGACAGUUCCUGUCCUUACCUUAUACUCUACACUUCCAUAUAUAAUCGGGGAGACCAGGUGGCAGUUUUUGAGUCUAUCCGACAUGGAAAAACGGCAAAACACAGCGUGAAAACUUUUUCAAACGGCAAACACGAUCCGGAGCUGUCACUACAGACCAACACAAACCCGGACAACACUGCACUUGUGUCACGAUUAACUGUAUUUGCACCACGAGCACUACAGCACUCACUGUGGACUUGUGACCGUGUUUGUAUAUUGUGUGUGUAUUAAAGACUGUGUUUAUUUUUUCGAGACUGAACCCCAUGGUUUCACUGAGCAAUGCGCAUUGUUGUGUAUUGCCAGUUAACGUUAUUAUUUACUGUUGUCAAGUGACGUUGGAUUACAAAAUAAACCAUCAUUUCACCAGUAACGUUGUUGUCAUUCUCUUUGAGCGCUGCA
This is a long non-coding RNA of Acipenser ruthenus (sterlet), 568 nucleotides long. RefSeq lists it as uncharacterized. The transcript has 3 exons. NCBI's taxonomy places the organism in Eukaryota, Metazoa, Chordata, Actinopteri, Acipenseriformes, Acipenseridae. The record is from RefSeq and is a predicted model, not a curated record.